This is a long non-coding RNA of Trichomycterus rosablanca, 307 nucleotides long. RefSeq lists it as uncharacterized. NCBI's taxonomy places the organism in Eukaryota, Metazoa, Chordata, Actinopteri, Siluriformes, Trichomycteridae. The transcript has 3 exons. The record is from RefSeq and is a predicted model, not a curated record.
GCUGCCUCAGAAGGGGAUGAUCCUGGGACGCCUUUGGAGAAUGUGACUGGUGAUAACUAAUCUGAUGAGGGACCAUCCACCUUCAGCUUGGAACACUGGCUGUAAAGGAUUUAUACAAGGUCCACCUGCAAAAACAAAUUAAAAAGUGCGAUCUUCAGAUGGAGCACAUCAAACUUCAAAUAAAACAGACAAGACUUGAGUUGCUGAAAUAUAAGUGAAAGUUGGGGGUAGUUGCUGUGAGUGUAUAUGUAUAUUCUUACUAAAGAAUAAGGACAAGGAAAUUAACUUGUUGGCAUUUUUGUUUAUU